AUUGGGGUCUGCAACUCGACCCCAUGAAGUCGGAGUCGCUAGUAAUCGCAGAUCAGCAACGCUGCGGUGAAUACGUUCCCGGGCCUUGUACACACCGCCCGUCACGUCACGAAAGUCGGUAACACCCGAAGCCGGUGGCCCAACCCUUGUGGAGGGAGCCGUCGAAGGUGGGGCUGGCGAUUGGGACUAAGUCGUAACAAGGUAGCCGUACCGGAAGGUGCGGCUGGAUCACCUCCUUUCUAAGGAG
This 247-nucleotide ribosomal RNA is filed under the name Pseudomonas sp. RNAcentral's name for it is "partial 16S ribosomal RNA". It matches the Rfam family "Bacterial small subunit ribosomal RNA", at positions 1297 to 1533 of the family's 1533-position model. Lineage: Bacteria; Pseudomonadati; Pseudomonadota; Gammaproteobacteria; Pseudomonadales; Pseudomonadaceae. The record is from RNAcentral.